UACGUAGGCAGCAAGCGUUGUUCGGAGUUACUGGGCGUAAAGGGUGUGUAGGCGGCUUCGUAAGUUCGGUGUGAAAUCCCCCGGCUCAACCGGGGAAUGGCGCCUGAUACUGGCGGACUCGAGAUCGGUAGGGGUGAGUGGAACUCCAGGUGGAGCGGUGAAAUGCGUAGAUAUCGGGAGGAACACCAGUGGCGAAGGCGACUACCUGGCCUGUUCUUGACGCUGAGGCGCGAAAGCUAGGGGAGCAAACGGG
RNAcentral lists this ribosomal RNA (253 nucleotides) under uncultured bacterium. Its description in RNAcentral is "partial 16S ribosomal RNA". It matches the Rfam family "Bacterial small subunit ribosomal RNA", at positions 524 to 776 of the family's 1533-position model. The record is from RNAcentral.